UACGGGGGGAGCAAGCGUUGUUCGGAUUUACUGGGCGUAAAGGGCGCGUAGGCGGUCAGCACAAGUCAGUUGUGAAAUCUCCGGGCUUAACUCGGAAAGGUCAACUGAUACUGUGCGACUAGAGUGCGGAAGGGGCAACUGGAAUUCUCGGUGUAGCGGUGAAAUGCGUAGAUAUCUGGAGGAAUACCGGUGGCGAAGGCGGCAUCCUGGACCAACACUGACGCUGAGGCGCGAAGGCCAGGGGAGCAAACGGG
This 254-nucleotide ribosomal RNA is filed under the name uncultured bacterium. RNAcentral's name for it is "partial 16S ribosomal RNA". It matches the Rfam family "Bacterial small subunit ribosomal RNA", at positions 524 to 776 of the family's 1533-position model. The record is from RNAcentral.